AUAGAUACCCUGGUAGUCCACGCCGUAAACGAUGAGUACUAGGUGUAGGGGGUAUCGACCCCCCCUGUGCCGCAGUAAACACAAUAAGUACUCCGCCUGGGAAGUACGAUCGCAAGAUUAAAACUCAAAGGAAUUGACGGGGACCCGCACAAGCAGCGGAGCAUGUGGUUUAAUUCGAAGCAACGCGAAGAACCUUACCUGGACUUGACAUCCCCUGAAUAACUCGUAAUGGAGGAAGCCCUUCGGGGCAGGGAGACAGGUGGUGCAUGGUUGUCGUCAGCUCGUGUCGUGAGAUGUUAGGUUAAGUCCUGCAACGAGCGCAACCCCUGUCGUUAGUUGCCAUCACGUAAAGGUGGGCACCCUAACGAGACUGCCGCGGUUAACGUGGAGGAAGGUGGGGAUGACGCCGAAAUCAUCAUGCCCCUUAUGUCCAGGGCAACACACGUGCUACAAUGGGCAGAACAGAGAGAAGCAAUACCGCGAGGAGGAGCAAAUCUCAAAAACCUGCCCCCGAGUUCGGAUUGCAGGCUGAAACCCG
Molecule: ribosomal RNA, 538 nt
Filed under: uncultured bacterium
Lineage: Bacteria
Description: bacterial SSU rRNA
Rfam family: Bacterial small subunit ribosomal RNA
Source: RNAcentral